AUGGCCUACCUCAAGAUGCUGUGCCCAAACCGAGUGUUUAGGAGAUCAAAGUCUAAAAUCAAGAUGCUGCUGAGGCUGCAUUCCUUCUGGAGGUUUCAGGGGAGAAUUGUUUCCUCGUCUUUCUCACCAUCUAAAAGGCUAUUGCUGGAAGAUCUCUUCCAUUGGAAAGUCACCCAAAACGUGUAGGUAUAUGUUUGAAUUUCACUUAAUAGAUGUCAUUCUUAAAGUAAAAUCUAAACAUUUAAUUACAUUAUACUUCCUUAGUAUAUGCAAAUAUUUAUCUGCCCUUUCUUAAAAUUUCUAUAAUUCUGUGCAUAGAAUGAAUUUAUUUUAUGGUAAAGCUGACGCCAAUUAGCCUAUGUGUAUGUUAGGUACUGACUCUAUUAAGUCAAGGAGUGAAAACAGGCGAAGAGAGUAUAAAUAGAAGGUCCUUUAACCUACAUAAAAUAACACAAGUCAUUGGGAAGGGUACACAUCUCCUAGAACAACAUUAGAAAUAAUUAACAUCUCUCAGUGGAGCUGUACAAUAGCAAUAAACGCAAUCAUUCACUUUACUGAAAAUACUUGUGUGAAACAAAUAUUCAUCAUGUAUGUAUAUUUUAGAUCAGAGUGAUCUAACCAAUGAAACUAAUUUAUUUUGUUAAAAGCCUCUUUGAUUUACUCUGUGGUUGUGGAAGGAUGGAAGUCAUUCAAAUGGAAAUGCUCAAAGGGUGAAGAAAUCUAAUAAUGUGUCAUAAAUAUAAUAAAAAAGGUAAAUUUAAUCAGGCCAGGUGCAGUGGCUCACACCUGUGAUAUCAGCCCUUUGGGAGGUGGAGACAGAAGGACUACUUUAGGCCAGGAGCUUGAGACCUGCCUGGGCAACAAAGUAAGACAACACCUGUACAGAAAAAUUUAAAAAUUAGCUGGGAGUGUUGGCACGUGUCUGUAGUCCCAGCUACUUAGGAGACUGAGGUGACAGGAUCAUUUGAACCCAGGAAUUUGAGACUGCAGUGAGCUAUGAUUGUGCCACUGCACUCCAGCCUGGGUGACAGAGUGAGACUUUAUCUCCAAAAAUUAAACAAAAGAAAGAGAAACAAAGAUCGAGGGAAGGAAGGAAGGCUAUUAAGACCAGCCUGUUGCUGCCUGAAUUAUUGAUAAUCUGAUGAUAUCAUUUUAAGCUUUUCAGAAAUUCCCGUAUUUGUGGACAUUGGUGAUACAUUGUUCAUACUUCCAAACAUAACAUUUGAAAUUAAUUUUAAAAAUAACUGAAAUCACAUUUUAUAUCUAUGAGACAGAAAAAGUCUGAUUGAAAGUAAAGCUUUAAUUUAAAAAUUUCA
This 1316-nucleotide long non-coding RNA is filed under the name Papio anubis (olive baboon). RNAcentral describes it as "lncRNA (ENSPANG00000045665.1)". Lineage: Eukaryota; Metazoa; Chordata; Mammalia; Primates; Cercopithecidae. The record is from RNAcentral.